GGAUGCGUGCCCGAGUGGGAAGGGGUCCGCUUGCUACGCGGUAGCCGGGGCAAACAGUCUCGCGGAGGUUCGAUCCCUCCCGCAUCCG
This 88-nucleotide transfer RNA is filed under the name Allobosea sp. RAC05. RNAcentral's name for it is "Bosea sp. RAC05 tRNA". It matches the Rfam family "tRNA". Rfam says of the family: Transfer RNA (tRNA) molecules are approximately 80 nucleotides in length. Lineage: Bacteria; Pseudomonadati; Pseudomonadota; Alphaproteobacteria; Hyphomicrobiales; Alloboseaceae. The record is from Rfam by way of RNAcentral.